GACAGAGGGUGCAAACGUUGCUCGGAAUUACUGGGCGUAAAGCGCGUGUAGGUGGACUGGUGUGUCAGAUGUGAAAUCCCUGGGCUCAACCCAGGAACUGCACCUGAAACUACCAGCCUUGAGUGGUGGAGAGGGAAGUGGAAUUCCUGGUGUAGAGGUGAAAUUCGUAGAUAUCAGGAGGAACACCAGUGGCGAAGGCGGCUUCCUGGACACCAACUGACGCUGAGACGCGAAAGCGUGGGGAGCGAACAGG
RNAcentral lists this ribosomal RNA (253 nucleotides) under uncultured bacterium. RNAcentral describes it as "partial 16S ribosomal RNA". It matches the Rfam family "Bacterial small subunit ribosomal RNA", at positions 524 to 776 of the family's 1533-position model. The record is from RNAcentral.